CGGUAAUUCCAGCUCCAAUAGCGUAUACUAAAGUUGUUGCAGUUAAAAAGCUCGUAGUUGGAUUUCUGCGGGGACGGAGCGGCCGGACGCAACUUGCGUCUCGAGCUAGCGCUUUCCCCGCAUCCUGCCGCGAACCGUGCUACCAUUAGUUUAGUGGCGCCGGGGAUCGGCUCGAUUACUUUGAGAAAAAUAGAGUGUUCAAAGCAGGCCACACGCCUUGAAUAAGUUAGCAUGGAAUAAUGACUAAGGACUUUGGUUCUUUUCGUUGGUGUUCGGGACUGAAGUAAUGAUUGAUAGGGACAGUUGGGGCGGUCCGUAUUCCAAAGCGAGAGGUGAAAUUCUUAGACCUUCGGAAGACGAACAGCUGCGAAAGCGUUCCGCAAGGAUGUUCCCUUUGAUCAAGAACGAAAGUUGGGGGAUCGAAGACGAUCAGAUACCGUCGUAGUCUCAACUAUAAACUAUACCAGCUAGGGAUCGGCCAACGUUUAACUUUAUCGACUUGGUCGGCACCUUAUGAGAAAUCAAAGCAUCUGGGUUCCGGGGGGAGUAUGGUCGCAAGGCUGAAACUUAAAGGAAUUGACGGAAGGGCACCACCAGCCGUGGAGCCUGUGGCUUAAUUUGACUCAACACAGGAAAACUUACCAGGUCCAGACAUAGGAAGGAUUAACAGAUUGAUAGCUCCUUCUUGAUUCUGUGGGUGGUGGUGCAUGGCCGUUUUUAGUCGGUGGAUGUGAUCUGUCUGCUUAAUUGCGUUAACGGACGAGACCCCAGCCUGCUAAAUAGCGCGGCCGAGCUUUGCUCGGUGCGAGCUUCUUAGAGGGACCAUGAUGCGCGAUAGCACAAGGAAGUUUGGGGCAACAACAGGUCUGUGAUGCCCUUAGAUGUUCUGGGCCGCACACGGGCUACACUGGCGCCUGCAACGAGCAUAUCAGCUGGCCCGAGAGGGUCUUGGCUAAUCUUUGGAACCGGCGCCGUGCUUGGGAUUGACCAUUGCAAUUGUUGGUCAUGCAACGAGGAAUGCCUUGUAAACGCGAGUCAUCAGCUCGCAUUGAAUACGUCCCUGCCCUUUGUACACACCGCCCGUCGCUCCUACCGAUGAAUGUUCCGAUGAAAUUUUCGGAGAGCGCCAGAGAACGGGGCUCCGCCUUGCAGAUCUGGAGGCUCAAAGUCACUUAAAUCUGAACAUUUCGAGGAAGGAGAAGUCGUAACAAGGUAGCCG
RNAcentral lists this ribosomal RNA (1219 nucleotides) under uncultured Rhizaria. RNAcentral describes it as "SSU rRNA". It matches the Rfam family "Eukaryotic small subunit ribosomal RNA", at positions 577 to 1805 of the family's 1831-position model. The record is from RNAcentral.